RNAcentral lists this small RNA (556 nucleotides) under uncultured Fusobacterium sp. RNAcentral's name for it is "bacterial SSU rRNA". The stretch from base 1 to 341 matches the Rfam family "Bacterial small subunit ribosomal RNA", at positions 1194 to 1533 of the family's 1533-position model. Lineage: Bacteria; Fusobacteriati; Fusobacteriota; Fusobacteriia; Fusobacteriales; Fusobacteriaceae. The record is from RNAcentral.
CAUGCCCCUUAUACGCUGGGCUACACACGUGCUACAAUGGGUAGUACAGAGAGUCGCAAAGCCGUGAGGUGGAGCUAAUCUCAGAAAACUAUUCUUAGUUCGGAUUGUACUCUGCAACUCGAGUACAUGAAGUUGGAAUCGCUAGUAAUCGCGAAUCAGCAAUGUCGCGGUGAAUACGUUCUCGGGUCUUGUACACACCGCCCGUCACACCACGAGAGUUGGUUGCACCUGAAGUAGCAGGCCUAACCGUAAGGAGGGAUGCUCCGAGGGUGUGAUUAGCGAUUGGGGUGAAGUCGUAACAAGGUAUCCGUACGGGAACGUGCGGAUGGAUCACCUCCUUUCUAAGGAGAAUAUGUCUUUCUCUAUUCUAUUGGUAAUGUUCUUACAUUACUUCUGAACAUUGGAAACUAUAUAGUAGAACAAACAAAAAAAAAAUUAACUCUAACAAUUUCUUAGAGUUAGCUGUCAAAAAAUAGAUUAAAAUAAUUAAGGGCACACAAAGGAUGCCUAGGUAGUAAGAGCCGAUGAAGGACGUGGUAAGCCGCGAUAAGCCUAG